UACGUAGGGAGCGAGCGUUGUUCGGAAUUACUGGGCGUAAAGAGUGUGUAGGCGGUGUUCCGAGUCUGUUGUGAAAUCUCCCGGCUUAACUGGGAGGGUGCAGCGGAAACUAGAAUGCUAGAGGGUGGGAGAGGUAAGCGGAAUUCCUGGUGUAGCGGUGAAAUGCGUAGAUAUCGGGAGGAACACCAAUGGCGAAGGCAGCUCGCUGGGCCGGUACUGACGCUGAGGCGCGAAAGCGUGGGGAGCAAACAGG
RNAcentral lists this ribosomal RNA (253 nucleotides) under uncultured bacterium. RNAcentral describes it as "partial 16S ribosomal RNA". It matches the Rfam family "Bacterial small subunit ribosomal RNA", at positions 524 to 776 of the family's 1533-position model. The record is from RNAcentral.